This 384-nucleotide ribosomal RNA is filed under the name uncultured Leptolinea sp. Its description in RNAcentral is "bacterial SSU rRNA". It matches the Rfam family "Bacterial small subunit ribosomal RNA", at positions 985 to 1382 of the family's 1533-position model. Lineage: Bacteria; Bacillati; Chloroflexota; Anaerolineae; Anaerolineales; Anaerolineaceae. The record is from RNAcentral.
CAUGCAAGUGGUAGGAAUCCGAAAGGUGACCGACCCUUCGGGAGCUUGCACAGGUGCUGCAUUGGCUGUCGUCAGCUCGUGUCGUGAGAUGUUCGGUUAAGUCCGCUAACGAGCGCAACCCUCGUCGUGUGUUAUACGUGUCACACGAUACUGCCGGUAUCAAGCCGGAGGAAGGUGGGGAUGAUGUCAAGUCAGCAUGGCCUUUAUAUCCUGGGCUACACACACGCUACAAUGGCAGAUACAAUAGGUUGCGAAACCGCGAGGUGGAGCCAAUCCUCAAAGUCUGUCUCAGUUCAGAUUGUAGGCUGCAACUCGCCUGCAUGAAGUUGGAGUUGCUAGUAAACGCAGGUCAGCUAUACUGCGUUGAAUACGUUCCCGGGGUUU